RNAcentral lists this ribosomal RNA (301 nucleotides) under uncultured bacterium. Its description in RNAcentral is "partial 16S ribosomal RNA". It matches the Rfam family "Bacterial small subunit ribosomal RNA", at positions 509 to 809 of the family's 1533-position model. The record is from RNAcentral.
CAGUAGCCGCGGUAAUACGAAGGGUGCAAGCGCUAAUCGGAAUUACUGGGCGUAAAGCGUGCGUAGGCGGUGAGUUAAGUCUGCUGUGAAAUCCCCGGGCUCAACCUGGGAAUGGCAGUGGAUACUGGCUCGCUAGAGUGUGUCAGAGGAUGGUGGAAUUCCCGGUGUAGCGGUGAAAUGCGUAGAGAUCGGUAGGAACAUCAGUGGCGAAGGCGGCCAUCUGGGACAACACUGACGCUGAGGCACGAAAGCGUGGGGAGCAAACAGGAUUAGAUACCCCCGUAGUCCCUGUCUCUUAUAU